GAUGAACGCUGGCGGCGUGCCUAAUACAUGCAAGUCGAGCGAACAGACGAGAGUGCUUGCACUCUCUGACGUUAGCGGCGGACGGGUGAGUAACACGUGGGUAACCUACCUAUAAGACUGGGAUAACUUCGGGAAACCGGAGCUAAUACCGGAUAAUAUUUAGCUUCGCAUGAAGCAAUAGUGAAAGACGGUUCUGCUGUCACUUAUAGAUGGACCCGCGGUGUAUUAGCUAGUUGGUGAGGUAACGGCUCACCAAGGCAACGAUACAUAGCCGACCUGAGAGGAAGAUCGGCAAGGAGGGCAAGGAGACAGGGUACAGAAGCAAAAGGGAGGCAGCGGGAGGGAAUCGUACGAGAGGAGGGAAAGGCUGAAGGAGAAACGCAGCGGUAGUAAAGAAGGAAAACGGAUCGGAAAACAACGUAAGGAAGCAAGAACAAACGCGUAAGAAACUAGGCGCGUAGCGACGGGACAGAAGCAGAAGGAAAAGGCUGAAGGAGCG
This 499-nucleotide ribosomal RNA is filed under the name uncultured bacterium. RNAcentral describes it as "partial 16S ribosomal RNA". The stretch from base 12 to 385 matches the Rfam family "Bacterial small subunit ribosomal RNA", at positions 39 to 400 of the family's 1533-position model. The record is from RNAcentral.